UACAGAGGUGGCAAGCGUUGUUCGGAAUUACUGGGCGUAAAGGGCUCGUAGGCGGCCAACUAAGUCGGAUGUGAAAUCCCCAGGCUUAACCUGGGAACUGCAUCCGAUACUGGAUGGCUUGAAUCCGGGAGAGGGAUGCAGAAUUCCAGGUGUAGCGGUGAAAUGCGUAGAUAUCUGGAGGAAUACCGGUGGCGAAGGCGGCAUCCUGGACCGGCAUUGACGCUGAUGAGCGAAAGCUAGGGGAGCAAACAGG
This 253-nucleotide ribosomal RNA is filed under the name uncultured bacterium. RNAcentral's name for it is "partial 16S ribosomal RNA". It matches the Rfam family "Bacterial small subunit ribosomal RNA", at positions 524 to 776 of the family's 1533-position model. The record is from RNAcentral.